GCAUUGAUGGUUCAGUGGUAGAAUUCUCGCCUGCCAUGCGGGAGGCUGGGUUCGAUUCCUGGCCAAUGCA
RNAcentral lists this transfer RNA (70 nucleotides) under Tupaia belangeri chinensis (Chinese tree shrew). RNAcentral describes it as "Tupaia chinensis (Chinese tree shrew) tRNA". It matches the Rfam family "tRNA". Rfam says of the family: Transfer RNA (tRNA) molecules are approximately 80 nucleotides in length. The record is from Rfam by way of RNAcentral. Lineage: Eukaryota; Metazoa; Chordata; Mammalia; Scandentia; Tupaiidae.